GGUGGACCCAAUGUAAUCACAAAUAUUCUUAAGUGUGGAGGAGGGAGGCAGAGUCAGAGAAGGACUGGUGACAAUGGAAAUAGAGGUUGGAAACAGUGAUGUACCUUAUAGAUGGAGGAAGGGGCCACGAGCCACGGAAGGCAGGAAGCCUCUAGAAGCUGGCAAAGGCAAAGAAAUGGGUCCUUCCCUGGAGCCUCCAGAAGGAAUGCAGCCCAGCUAAACCUUGAUUUUUAGCCCACUGAGACCCAUUUUGAACUUCUGAAUCCCUGAACUGCAGACCUCGUUUCAUUGACCUUCGCAGACACUGCGUUUUGUACAAGAUCCUCCACCAGUAAAAAAAAAAAGGGUUCGAGUUUGUACUGGCUUCCCUUGAUGGCAGAAGAGAGAUCUGAGGGUGCCUGGCCCCCAAGGGUAGGUAGGAGGCUCCCCACGCCUCCAGAGACCUGGCGCCCCAGGAGUCACUACCAUCCAUUCAACAAACCUGCCCUGAUGCUUCUCUGCGCCAUGACCCGGAGCUCAGCUGGAUGUGCCAGCCAUGAAGAGGACAAGUUCCCUGCCUGACUAUUCUAUCAGGAUUAGGGGAGAUUGACUUGGAGAUUAUGUUACCAUAUAUUGUCUCUUCUGAUAAGGAUUUGAAAAAGUUCUUAUGGGGGGGGUGGGGGACAACGACAUGGACAUUGCCUGGUGACUAGACCCGUGUGUUCCAAAUACAAGAGAGAGGUCUGGGCUGGAGAGAGAUUUUGGUUUCCUGACAUGGUUGUGAUAUUUAGCAAAUAAAAAUACAAGACGUCCAGUUAAAUUUGAAUUUCACAUAAACAACGAAUAACAACUUAGUAUAAGUAUGGCCCGUCAAUAUUUGGGGCAUACUUACACUAAAACAUUAUUCCUUGUUCCUCUGAAAUUCAAAUUAAAUUGGGGGUCCUGUGUUUCAUCUGGCGGGCAACCGGACUCGAUGGAGCCCCGGGGAUUGAACGCCCGGAGGCGAGGCCUGGCCAGAGACGAGGGUCCAUAGAGAUGAGAGCCCGGGGUUGGACGCCUGGCGAGUCUGGCGAGCCAGCUGCGCCGGACCUCC
Long non-coding RNA from Equus asinus (donkey), 1072 nucleotides. The record is from Ensembl. NCBI's taxonomy places the organism in Eukaryota, Metazoa, Chordata, Mammalia, Perissodactyla, Equidae.